This 303-nucleotide ribosomal RNA is filed under the name uncultured bacterium. RNAcentral describes it as "partial 16S ribosomal RNA". It matches the Rfam family "Bacterial small subunit ribosomal RNA", at positions 507 to 807 of the family's 1533-position model. The record is from RNAcentral.
AGCAGUCGCCGCGGGAAUACGUAGGUCCCGAGCGUUGUCCGGAUUUACUGGGCGUAAAGGGCGCGUAAGUGGUUAUUUAAGUGAGAUGUGAAAGCCCCGGGCUUAACCUGGGAACUGCAUCUUAUACUGGGUAACCGGAGUGCAGUAGAGGGUAGUGGAAUUUCCGGUGUAGCGGUGAAAUGCGUAGAUAUCGGAAGGAACACCAGUGGCGAAGGCGGCUACCUGGACUGAGACUGACACUGAGGCGCGAGAGCGUGGGGAGCAAACAGGAUUAGAUACCCGAGUAGUCCCUGUCUCUUAUAC